Molecule: ribosomal RNA, 709 nt
Filed under: archaeon enrichment culture clone A21D65
Lineage: Archaea
Description: bacterial SSU rRNA
Rfam family: Archaeal small subunit ribosomal RNA
Source: RNAcentral
GGUUACUGCUAUCGAGGUUCGACUAAGCCAUGCGAGUCGAAUGUAGCAAUACAUGGCGAACUGCUCAGUAACACGUGGACAACCUGCCCUUAGGUUGGGUAUAAACCCGGGAAACUGGGUAUAAUACCCGAUAGGUCUCGAUUGCUGGAAUGCAUCGAGAUUUAAAGCUCCGGCGCCUAAGGAUGGGUCUGCGGCCUAUCAGGUAGUAGUGGGUGUAGCGUACCUACUAGCCUACGACGGGUACGGGUUGUGAGAGCAAGAGCCCGGAGAUGGAUUCUGAGACACGAAUCCAGGCCCUACGGGGUGCAGCAGGCGCGAAAACUUUACAAUGCUGGCAACAGCGAUAAGGGAACCUCGAGUGCCAGGUUACAAAUCUGGCUGUCGAGAUGCCUAAAAAGCAUUUCAUAGCAAGGGCCGGGCAAGACCGGUGCCAGCCGCCGCGGUAACACCGGCGGCUCGAGUGGUAACCGUUAUUAUUGGGUCUAAAGGGUCUGUAGCCGGCCGGAUAAGUCUCUUGAGAAAUCUGGCAGCUUAACUGUCAGGCUUUCAGGAGAUACUGUCUGGCUCGAGGCCGGGAGAGGUGAGAGGUACUUCAGGGGUAGGGGUGAAAUCUUGUAAUCCUUGAAGGACCACCAGUGGCGAAGGCGUCUCACCAGAACGGACCUGACGGCAAGGGACGAAAGCUAGGGGCACGAACCGGAUUAGAUAC